GGCAUAUCCCUUGCUUUGAUUCUGCUGACACUAACACGACCAGUCCCAUGCAUGCUGGCAAGUCUUGGAGCCAGAAGGGAAUUGGCAACCACAGGAGGAGUUGGCGAACGGGAGCAGCUAACGGGAGUUUUGCGAGGGACUUCUCCAGGUGAAGGAGGGGCGACUGGCGUGACCUGAGAGAGCCACAAAGAGUUGAGCACAUACUUGUUGAAGUGGAAACCAAUAGUAUGUGUUGCCAACCGUACAGCAGCAGAAGAAAAGGCAG
This is a long non-coding RNA of Chelonia mydas (Green sea turtle), 265 nucleotides long. RefSeq lists it as uncharacterized. The record is from RefSeq and is a predicted model, not a curated record. The transcript is spliced from 3 exons. Lineage: Eukaryota; Metazoa; Chordata; Testudines; Cheloniidae.